UGAGUAAUGUCUGGGAAACUGCCUGAUGGAGGGGGAUAACUACUGGAAACGGUAGCUAAUACCGCAUAACGUCGCAAGACCAAAGUGGGGGACCUUCGGGCCUCAUGCCAUCAGAUGUGCCCAGAUGGGAUUAGCUAGUAGGUGAGGUAAUGGCUCACCUAGGCGACGAUCCCUAGCUGGUCUGAGAGGAUGACCAGCCACACUGGAACUGAGACACGGUCCAGACUCCUACGGGAGGCAGCAGUGGGGAAUAUUGCACAAUGGGCGCAAGCCUGAUGCAGCCAUGCCGCGUGUAUGAAGAAGGCCUUCGGGUUGUAAAGUACUUUCAGUGGGGAGGAAGGCGUUAAGGUUAAUAACCUUGGCGAUUGACGUUACCCGCAGAAGAAGCACCGGCUAACUCCGUGCCAGCAGCCGCGGUAAUACGGAGGGUGCAAGCGUUAAUCGGAAUUACUGGGCGUAAAGCGCACGCAGGCGGUCUGUCAAGUCGGAUGUGAAAUCCCCGGG
RNAcentral lists this ribosomal RNA (504 nucleotides) under uncultured bacterium. RNAcentral's name for it is "bacterial SSU rRNA". It matches the Rfam family "Bacterial small subunit ribosomal RNA", at positions 107 to 607 of the family's 1533-position model. The record is from RNAcentral.